AGCCUGAUGCAGCGACGCCGCGUGAGGGAUGACGGCCUUCGGGUUGUAAACCUCUUUCAGCAGGGAAGAAGCGAAAGUGACGGUACCUGCAGAAGAAGCGCCGGCUAACUACGUGCCAGCAGCCGCGGUAAUACGUAGGGCGCAAGCGUUGUCCGGAAUUAUUGGGCGUAAAGAGCUCGUAGGCGGUUUGUCGCGUCUGCUGUGAAAGCCCGGGGCUCAACCCCGGGUCUGCAGUGGGUACGGGCAGACUAGAGUGCAGUAGGGGAGACUGGAAUUCCUGGUGUAGCGGUGAAAUGCGCAGAUAUCAGGAGGAACACCGAUGGCGAAGGCAGGUCUCUGGGCUGUAACUGACGCUGAGGAGCGAAAGCAUGGGGAGCGAACAGGAUUAGAUACCCUGGUAGUCCAUGCCGUAAACGUUGGGCACUAGGUGUGGGGGACAUUCCACGUUUUCCGCGCCGUAGCUGAGGCAUUAAGUGCCCCGCCUGGGGAGUACGGCCGCAAGGCUAAAACUCAAAGGAAUUGACGGGGGCCCGCACAAGCGGCGGAGCAUGCGGAUUAAUUCGAUGCAACGCGAAGAACCU
This 581-nucleotide ribosomal RNA is filed under the name bacterium enrichment culture clone Pi10. Its description in RNAcentral is "bacterial SSU rRNA". It matches the Rfam family "Bacterial small subunit ribosomal RNA", at positions 380 to 971 of the family's 1533-position model. The record is from RNAcentral.